GCUGACGAGUGGCGGACGGGUGAGUAAUGUCUGGGAAACUGCCCGAUGGAGGGGGAUAACUACUGGAAACGGUAGCUAAUACCGCAUAACGUCGCAAGACCAAAGAGGGGGACCUUGGGCCUCUUGCCAUCGGAUGUGCCCAGAUGGGAUUAGCUAGUAGGUGGGGUAAAGGCUCACCUAGGCGACGAUCCCUAGCUGGUCUGAGAGGAUGACCAGCCACACUGGAACUGAGACACGGUCCAGACUCCUACGGGAGGCAGCAGUGGGGAAUAUUGCACAAUGGGCGCAAGCCUGAUGCAGCCAUGCCGCGUGUAUGAAGAAGGCCUUCGGGUUGUAAAGUACUUUCAGCGGGGAGGAAGGGAGUAAAGUUAAUACCUUUGCUCAUUGACGUUACCCGCAGAAGAAGCACCGGCUAACUCCGUGCCAGCAGCCGCGGUAAUACGGAGGGUGCAAGCGUUAAUCGGAAUUACUGGGCGUAAAGCGCACGCAGGCGGU
This 495-nucleotide ribosomal RNA is filed under the name Escherichia coli. RNAcentral's name for it is "bacterial SSU rRNA". It matches the Rfam family "Bacterial small subunit ribosomal RNA", at positions 87 to 579 of the family's 1533-position model. Lineage: Bacteria; Pseudomonadati; Pseudomonadota; Gammaproteobacteria; Enterobacterales; Enterobacteriaceae. The record is from RNAcentral.